Molecule: ribosomal RNA, 440 nt
Filed under: uncultured bacterium
Lineage: Bacteria
Description: partial 16S ribosomal RNA
Rfam family: Bacterial small subunit ribosomal RNA
Source: RNAcentral
CCUACGGGGGGCAGCAGUGGGGAAUAUUGCACAAUGGGGGAAACCCUGAUGCAGCGACGCCGCGUGAGCGAUGAAGUAUUUCGGUAUGUAAAGCUCUAUCAGCAGGGAAGAAAAUGACGGUACCUGAGUAAGAAGCCCCGGCUAACUACGUGCCAGCCGCCGCGGUAAUACGUAGGGGGCAAGCGUUAUCCGGAUUUACUGGGUGUAAAGGGAGCGUAGACGGCAGUGCAAGGCUGGAGUGAAAGGCUGGGGCUCAACCCCCGGACUGCUCUGGAAACUGUACGGCUGGAGUGCAGGAGAGGCAAGUGGAAUUCCUAGGGUAGCGGUGAAAUGCGUAGAUAUUAGGAGGAACACCAGUGGCGAAGGCGGCCUACUGGACGGUAACUGACGUUGAGGCUCGAAAGCGUGGGGAGCAAACAGGAUUAGAUACCCCAGUAGUC